Molecule: ribosomal RNA, 301 nt
Filed under: uncultured bacterium
Lineage: Bacteria
Description: partial 16S ribosomal RNA
Rfam family: Bacterial small subunit ribosomal RNA
Source: RNAcentral
CAGUAGCCGCGGGAAUACGGAGGGGGCUAGCGCUGUUCGGAAUUACUGGGCGUAAAGCGCACGUAGGCGGCUUGGUAAGUUAGAGGUGAAAGCCCAGGGCUCAACCCUGGAAUUGCCUUUAAGACUGCCGAGCUAGUAGGUGAGAGAGGUGAGUGGAAUUCCGGUGUAGCGGUGAAAUGCGUAGAUAUCAGGAGGAACACCAAUAGCGAAGGCAGCUCGCUGGGACGUUACUGACACUAAGGCGCGAAAGCGUGGGGAGCGAACAGGAUUAGAUACCCCCGUAGUCCCUGUCUCUUAUACA